AGAGUUAAAAAGUAUGUGAAAUUGUUGAAAGGGAAACGAUUGAAGUCAGUCGUGCAGUCAUCAACUCAGCGGUAAAAUAGGUUUCAGAUGCAAAACAGCGAGCCUUAAAACCGCUGUUUUGUAUUUGAAGCCUAUUUUACCGCGUAUUUUGGUGUUUGCUGGUCAGCAUCAAUUUUGAUUGUCAUAAAAAGGUUGGGGGGAUGUAGCUUCUUCGGGAGUGUUAUAACCCUUAACGCAAUGUGACGAUUGAGAUUGAGGUUUGCAACGAAUACCUUUAGGGCAGUUCCACCUGAUCUCUUAUUGACGUCCAGAUAGCGACAGCUUGCUGACGUUGUUUGGAUUCGUUAAUGAAUAGGUUAGAGUGUGAAUUAAUUCGUUAAGGAUGCUGACGUAAUGGCUUUAAACGACC
RNAcentral lists this ribosomal RNA (409 nucleotides) under Entrophospora sp. RNAcentral's name for it is "partial large subunit ribosomal RNA". Lineage: Eukaryota; Fungi; Glomeromycota; Glomeromycetes; Entrophosporales; Entrophosporaceae. The record is from RNAcentral.